GACGAACGCUGGCGGCGUGCUUAACACAUGCAAGUCGAACGCUGAAGCCCAGCUUGCUGGGUGGAUGAGUGGCGAACGGGUGAGUAACACGUGAGUAACCUGCCCCCUUCUUUGGGAUAACGCCCGGAAACGGGUGCUAAUACUGGAUAUUCACUGGCCUUCGCAUGUGGGUUGGUGGAAAGGUUUUUUCUGGUGGGGGAUGGGCUCGCGGCCUAUCAGCUUGUUGGUGGGGUGAUGGCCUACCAAGGCUUUGACGGGUAGCCGGCCUGAGAGGGUGACCGGUCACAUUGGGACUGAGAUACGGCCCAGACUCCUACGGGAGGCAGCAGUGGGGAAUAUUGCACAAUGGGCGAAAGCCUGAUGCAGCGACGCCGCGUGAGGGAUGACGGCCUUCGGGUUGUAAACCUCUUUCGCUCAUGGUCAAGCCGCAACUCAAGGUUGUGGUGAGGGUAGUGGGUAAAGAAGCGCCGGCUAACUACGUGCCAGCAGCCGCGGUAAUACGUAGGGCGCGAGCGUUGUCCGGAAUUAUUGGGCGUAAAGGGCUUGUAGGCGGUUGGUCGCGUCUGCCGUGAAAUCCUCUGGCUUAACUGGGGGCGUGCGGUGGGUACGGGCUGACUUGAGUGCGGUAGGGGAGACUGGAACUCCUGGUGUAGCGGUGGAAUGCGCAGAUAUCAGGAAGAACACCGGUGGCGAAGGCGGGUCUCUGGGCCGUUACUGACGCUGAGGAGCGAAAGCGUGGGGAGCGAACAGG
This 751-nucleotide ribosomal RNA is filed under the name uncultured Actinomyces sp. Its description in RNAcentral is "bacterial SSU rRNA". It matches the Rfam family "Bacterial small subunit ribosomal RNA", at positions 28 to 776 of the family's 1533-position model. Lineage: Bacteria; Bacillati; Actinomycetota; Actinomycetes; Actinomycetales; Actinomycetaceae. The record is from RNAcentral.